Long non-coding RNA from Folsomia candida, 431 nucleotides. RefSeq lists it as uncharacterized. The transcript has 2 exons. NCBI's taxonomy places the organism in Eukaryota, Metazoa, Arthropoda, Collembola, Entomobryomorpha, Isotomidae. The record is from RefSeq and is a predicted model, not a curated record.
UUUGAGGUAUUUAUCAAUCCACCAACUGAAACGAAUUAAGCUCCUAUAGUUAUUUAUAAAUAUAUUAAAAAAUAAUAAUUCCAAAAAUGAAAACAUUUAUUGCAAUUGUUUUCCUUCUUGUGGUCUUUGCAGUGGCUGCAAGUGGUCUCAACAUUGGCAUAAUGAGUUGCACUAUUCAGCAGUGCACGGAUCUGUGCAACCAGGUUUUCCCCGGUCGCCGCUGUGUCGGACUAUGCCUAUCUCCCACAGAAUGCCAGUGCACCUGCAUUGGAUAAGAUUCUUCCCCUAUGAGUGGAGAAGAGAUCGUGGAGAUAAAGCCUUCAAACAAAUUGGCUGCAAAUUUUCUUUAAACUUUAUGAAAUUGUAAUUGAAUAACCUUUAACGGAGUUUUAAUAAUUCGACAAUUAAAUGCUUUAUUUAAGAUAACUAAC